AUUGAACGCUGGCGGCAUGCCUAACACAUGCAAGUCGAACGGCAGCACGGGGGCAACCCUGGUGGCGAGUGGCGGACGGGUGAGGAACACAUAGGAAUCUACCCUGUCGUGGGGGAUAACGUAGGGAAACUUACGCUAAUACCGCAUACGACCGAGAGGUGAAAGUGGGGGACCGCAAGGCCUCACGCGAUUGGAUGAGCCUAUGUCCGAUUAGCUAGUUGGCGGGGUAAGAGCCCACCAAGGCGACGAUCGGUAGCUGGUCUGAGAGGAUGAUCAGCCACACUGGAACUGAGACACGGUCCAGACUCCUACGGGAGGCAGCAGUGGGGAAUAUUGGACAAUGGGGGCAACCCUGAUCCAGCAAUGCCGCGUGGGUGAAGAAGGCCUUCGGGUUGUAAAGCCCUUUUGUACGGGAAGAAAAGCUCUGGACUAAUACUUCGGGGUCAUGACGGUACCGUAAGAAUAAGCACCGGCUAACUUCGUGCCAGCAGCCGCGGUAA
RNAcentral lists this ribosomal RNA (500 nucleotides) under uncultured bacterium. RNAcentral's name for it is "partial 16S ribosomal RNA". It matches the Rfam family "Bacterial small subunit ribosomal RNA", at positions 29 to 523 of the family's 1533-position model. The record is from RNAcentral.